This 490-nucleotide ribosomal RNA is filed under the name uncultured bacterium. Its description in RNAcentral is "partial 16S ribosomal RNA". It matches the Rfam family "Bacterial small subunit ribosomal RNA", at positions 28 to 507 of the family's 1533-position model. The record is from RNAcentral.
GAUGAACGCUAGCUACAGGCUUAACACAUGCAAGUCGCGGGGCAGCAUGGGGGUUGCUUGCAAUCCCCGAUGGCGACCGGCGCACGGGUGAGUAACGCGUAUCCAACCUGCCCUUCACCACGGGAUAACCCGGCGAAAGUCGGACUAAUACCGUAUGUUGUCCAUUGACGGCAUCCGACUUGGACGAAGGGCUUGGCGGUGAGGGAUGGGGAUGCGUCCGAUUAGGCAGACGGCGGGGUAACGGCCCACCGUGGCUACGAUCGGUAGGGGUUCUGAGAGGAAGGUCCCCCACGCUGGAACUGAGACACGGUCCAGACUCCUACGGGAGGCAGCAGUGAGGAAUAUUGGUCAAUGGGCGUAAGCCUGAACCAGCCAAGUAGCGUGCAGGAGGACGGCCCUAUGGGUUGUAAACUGCUUUUAUGCGGGGAUAAAGUGGCCCACGUGUGGGCUUUUGCAGGUACCGCAUGAAUAAGGACCGGCUAAUUACGUG